GGGCUACACACGUGCUACAAUGGUGGUGACAGUGGGCAGCGAGACCGCGAGGUCGAGCUAAUCUCCAAAAGCCAUCUCAGUUCGGAUUGCACUCUGCAACUCGAGUGCAUGAAGUUGGAAUCGCUAGUAAUCGCAGAUCAGCAUGCUGCGGUGAAUA
RNAcentral lists this ribosomal RNA (157 nucleotides) under Aminobacter aminovorans. RNAcentral describes it as "partial 16S ribosomal RNA". It matches the Rfam family "Bacterial small subunit ribosomal RNA", at positions 1211 to 1368 of the family's 1533-position model. Lineage: Bacteria; Pseudomonadati; Pseudomonadota; Alphaproteobacteria; Hyphomicrobiales; Phyllobacteriaceae. The record is from RNAcentral.